This 506-nucleotide ribosomal RNA is filed under the name uncultured bacterium. RNAcentral's name for it is "partial 16S ribosomal RNA". It matches the Rfam family "Bacterial small subunit ribosomal RNA", at positions 29 to 523 of the family's 1533-position model. The record is from RNAcentral.
AGUGAACGCUGGCGGUAGGCCUAACACAUGCAAGCCGAACGGCAGCACAGAGGAGCUUGCUCCUUGGGUGGCGAGUGGCGGACGGGUGAGGAAUACAUCGGAAUCUACUCUGUCGUGGGGGAUAACGUAGGGAAACUUACGCUAAUACCGCAUACGACCUACGGGUGAAAGCAGGGGAUCUUCGGACCUUGCGCGAUUGAAUGAGCCGAUGUCGGAUUAGCUAGUUGGCGGGGUAAAGGCCCACCAAGGCGACGAUCCGUAGCUGGUCUGAGAGGAUGAUCAGCCACACUGGAACUGAGACACGGUCCAGACUCCUACGGGAGGCAGCAGUAGGGAAUAUUGGACAAUGGGCGCAAGCCUGAUCCAGCCAUACCGCGUGGGUGAAGAAGGCCUUCGGGUUGUAAAGCCCUUUUGUUGGGAAAGAAAUCCAUCUGGUUAAUACCCGGGUGGGAUGACGGUACCCAAAGAAUAAGCACCGGCUAACUUCGUGCCAGCCGCCGCAGUAA